UGUUGUUCCAAGAAGACAAUGAAUAUGAAUAAAUAAAAUUUAAAAAAAAAUUUAGGUUCGUAAUAAAUUUAUGUAUACAAUACUUUUGUUGUACGAUUAAAAAUUAAUAUGUAGGUUUGUUAAAUAUUUUAUGUUUUAAUGAAAAAAUUUGGCGAAAAAAAUAACAAAUACAUAUUUGGACUUUUUUAUUACACAUUAAAAUCCACACCUAGGCGCCGUAGUCUUGGGGCCCAAUAAUUCUCAGUGUAGAAUAUGGAUACUUAUAAUUGACUGAAAUCGGUAAAUAUUUUAUUAUACGUGUUACCUAUGAUCUCCUGUUUCUACAAUAUCGUGCACAUUAAUUUAAUCGUCUAGUAAUUUCAAUUAAUAACCUUUUUUUUAUGUAUCUAAUUGAUACAAACAUAAUGUUUUCCAGCUAUUUUGUGAUAUUAAUAUUUUUUAUUAUAGCAUUAUGAUAAUAUAUUAUACUAUAUACCUA
Cinara cedri is the source of this 478-nucleotide non-coding RNA. NCBI's taxonomy places the organism in Eukaryota, Metazoa, Arthropoda, Insecta, Hemiptera, Aphididae. The record is from the annotation of a GenBank genome assembly.